AAGAGAUUAAUUUGACCAGAAGAAGAAGCAAGACAAAAUUAGAGUUAAAACAAACCUAAACAAGUCAUGUAAACCUUUACUACCUAGUUUUCUUUUGCCCAUGCCAUUAUUCUAAAAGGAAAUAAACUCCUUGGAACAUUUUUUUUUUAAAUAAACACCAAAAUGAAAUCACUUAGAAAGUCAUAAUAAUCACUUAUAAUGAAACAUAAUAGACAAACAUAUUCAAUAUAUGACUGUUUGGAAGCUUAAUUUAAUUGAUGUGCACAACUAAAAACAGUGGGUACUUCCAAAAGCACACAUAGUUCUUCCAAAAUGCACACAUAGUUUCUGGCUUUCUACAUGAAACAACUAAUUCAGAAAGGAUUAUAAAAAUGAUAACCCAGAUCAACUCAUGUACUAAUCAUUCAUUUACACAGAUAAAUUCUACAAAUAGAAAUUAACAUAGAAUAGGAAAUUGGGACGACUAGAAUAUGUGGCUCUUUUUUUUUUCUUUUUU
Molecule: unclassified non-coding RNA, 496 nt
Filed under: Hevea brasiliensis (rubber tree)
Lineage: Eukaryota; Viridiplantae; Streptophyta; Magnoliopsida; Malpighiales; Euphorbiaceae
Source: RNAcentral